AUGAUCUUGACUCACUGCAGCUUCGACUUCCUGGGCUCAAGUGAUCCUCCCAUCUCAGCCUCCUGUGUCACUCUAACCACAGGCACGUGCCACCAUGCCUGGCUAUUUUUUUGUUGAGCUGGGCUCUCACUUUGUUGCCCAGGCUGGUCUUGAACUCCUCAGCUCAAGCAGUCCUUCCCACUCAGCCUCCCGUAGUGUUGGGAAUACAGGCGUGCACCACUGCACCUGCUCCAGCCACUUGUAUAAAACCACUGACCUGUGUGUGGAGGACAGGCCAGGUGUGUGCUCACUGCACUGCGAAGAUGGGUCAUCACGUGACUUUCCCCAGUUUUCCAUUUCUCUUUUUCUGCUUUCCUCAAAAACCAAUAUAAGACUGGGUGCGGUGGCUCACACCUGUAAUCCCAGCACUUUGGGACGCUGCAGCUGGCGGAUCACAAGGUCAGGAGUUUUGAGACCAGCCUGGCCAACAUGAUGAAACCUCGUCUCCACUAAAAAUACAAAAGUUAGCUGGGUGUGAUGGUGGGUGCCUGUAAUCCCAGCUACUCAGGAGGCUGAGGCAGGAGAAUUUUUUGAACCCUGGAGGUGGAGGUUGCGGUGAGCCGAGAUCGUGCCAUUGCACUCCAGCCUGGGCAACAGCAAGACUCUGUCUCAAAAACACUUAGAAAAUGCCCUGGAGGUGGCAGAGGGUUGUAGAUAUGUGAGGCCAACCCCCAGGGUGGCCUUGUUCACCUCCCCAUUGAGAAUGGCUGCCAGGCUUCCCACUAGCCUCUGAAGAUGAUGGUCUGGUGUAAGGAGAGGUGCAGGUGCCUGGUUCUGAGCACCCUGGAAUUUCUGGCCACACAUCCUCUGGUGCCCUCCCUUCCACCCUGACAAGGAGCUUCCAGCCUGUUUUGAUUUUCUGUUUGUGGACCAGAAACACAUUUUUCCAAAUGAUGAGCAAAUAGGGUGAUUUCCUUUGUAAUGCUGCUCUGGGGCCUCUUCCUCAUCCUGGCAGAAGCAGCCUGGAUCCCAUGCGGCAGCCGACACUGUGCCCUUGCUCAGGCGUGCUGUCCCCUCCCUCUCCCUCAGUCUCCUCUCCAUGCCCAAGUCGGUUUCCAGCCGCUGGUCUUCACGGCAUUCCCAGUACAGCCAGGCACCAAGAGGCAAUACCGAAGGCCUGGCUUGGCCAUGUUAACGAUUGUACAGACAUAUAUUUUUAAAUAACUUUUAUGUAAUACUUUUCUAGCAUAGUAAGUUCUUGUUAACUGUCACAGAUGUCCUUCCAGAAACACCAGGUGUUACUUCCACUGAGUGUGGUCGUGGUCUGUGCCUUUGUAAACAGAACACUUGAACCACCUCCCGAAUUGGGUCAUCUGCUUCUUGAAUUGACACUUAAGAGAUGUGCAUCUCUCUAACUUUCAAGGAAACUGCCCCACUAAAUGGCAUGAAAAGGUUUAAAUAAAAUCCGAGAGUCCCAAUUCCCUCUA
This is an RNA transcript of Cercocebus atys (sooty mangabey), 1466 nucleotides long. RefSeq lists it as uncharacterized. NCBI's taxonomy places the organism in Eukaryota, Metazoa, Chordata, Mammalia, Primates, Cercopithecidae. The record is from RefSeq and is a predicted model, not a curated record. The transcript has a single exon.